UAUCUCUGUAGAGUCUGCAUAUCAAUAAGCGGAGGAAAAGAAACUAACUAGGAUUCCCUCAGUAACGGCGAGUGAAGCGGGAAGAGCUCAAAUUUGAAAUCUUCAAGGUUCUACCUUGACGAAUUGUAGUUUAAAGAAGUGUUUUCUGUUGGAGUUUUGGUAAAAGUUCUUUGGAAUAGGACAUCAUAGAGGGUGAGAAUCCCGUAUUUGACCAUUAUUUCCAGCUUUGUGAUACACUUUCAAAGAGUCGGAUUGUUUGGGAAUGCAGUCCAAAAUGGGUGGUAAAUUUCAUCUAAAGCUAAAUAUUGGCGAGAGACCGAUAGCGAACAAGUACCGUGAGGGAAAGAUGAAAAGAACUUUGAAAAGAGAGUUAAACAGUACGUGAAAUUGUCAAAAGGGAAGCGUUUGACACCAGUGUUGUUUUUCCGAAAAUCAAUUACGAAUGGCUUGAUUCUGUGUUGUAUUGACCUUAUCAGCUUUCUUCACUUUUUUCGAGUCCUUCUUAAUGCACUUUUCGGUUAACAAGUCAACAUCAAUUUCUUUUGUUGUAAAAGAGUAUUCGGAAGGUGGCUUUCUUUUCGGAGAAAGUGUUUAUAGCCCUAUACUUCUACAAUCGGAGAGAUUGAGGUCUGCAGCGUAGAUCCUUCGGGGUUAGAUACACUUGUGCUAAGUUGUAGCUUUUCAUAGACAACUUGUUGACUAUGUUUAGUCAUGCGGCUUACUCGCUUGUGCUAUUUUACCUACGCUUAGGAUGUUGAAGAUGUAGCACAUCAU
This 774-nucleotide ribosomal RNA is filed under the name uncultured Neocallimastigales. RNAcentral's name for it is "partial large subunit ribosomal RNA". It matches the Rfam family "Eukaryotic large subunit ribosomal RNA", at positions 24 to 643 of the family's 3401-position model. Lineage: Eukaryota; Fungi; Neocallimastigomycota; Neocallimastigomycetes; Neocallimastigales. The record is from RNAcentral.